AAAUAAUAGCCGUUAACUUUUUAUGAUAUCGGUAGUAUUAUUUAUCAAAUUUGCAAGGAAGGUUUUGCGCUCAGAGCAACUUUACAAGCAACGACGAAAUGUGGGGCGACCGUUGGUCGUCUUCUUGUUUACAGGUGGUUAGCAAGCAAAGCUUUUGUGAAUUACCGCCAUCAUCCGGGAAGAAGUGUAAAUCAGGACGAACAAACUCCAAUGAUCACUUUAGUGUUUCCCUUCAUGUACACUAUUUGCAGAGGUCAAUUUCUCUCAGAAGUUGGAGUGACGUCCCAUCCAUGCUGCCCUCCUGCUGCCCCUCAGCCAGGCUGAUGGCCUGGCUCAGAGCCGUGAGAAUGGAGGUCAGACCGAUCAGGUAGCCGUCCUCCCUGUUCCCCUCAACCCAAGGGAUGCC
This is a long non-coding RNA of Xiphophorus hellerii (green swordtail), 406 nucleotides long. RefSeq lists it as uncharacterized. The transcript is spliced from 3 exons. Lineage: Eukaryota; Metazoa; Chordata; Actinopteri; Cyprinodontiformes; Poeciliidae. The record is from RefSeq and is a predicted model, not a curated record.